Molecule: long non-coding RNA, 568 nt
Organism: Drosophila biarmipes
Lineage: Eukaryota; Metazoa; Arthropoda; Insecta; Diptera; Drosophilidae
Exons: 3
Source: RefSeq, a predicted model, not a curated record
AUAUGUGAACCACAAAAUUUACCUGUAGAAUAGCCCCAGGAUGUUAAGAGAAGAGUCCCCUGUAAUACAGACCUACACACGAAGUAAUUGUAACCAGAAUGACACAGAAAUAAGUAUAACGACUUUGAGCCACAACGUUAAAAUGGAAGAACAAAAUCGAACAGGAACAGGACUAUCGCCAGCUACCCUCUCAAAAUUAUAUCACACUUAAGGACCCAAAUAAUUUUUACAUGCCCUUAACAUGAAAGCUUCCAGAAGUAGGACCACUCUUAUUAUCCUGAGGAUGAGCUAUUCCAGGUAUCCACACACAAUUGGGGGCUGUGCGAUUUAGGACCUGCGAAUAAAUAUUGAUCUAUGCAUCGAAUUAUAUUAUCAUACCUGCGAAGUCCAGAAGUAUACCUGGUAUUUUUUAAACGUCUAUAUUUAAACAAAAGUCGUCUAUGAAGACGACGUUAUUGUACUGCCACACAACAUUUUACGUGAACCAUAUCGCCGCAAAUGGAAUACCCCAUAUAUCAAAUGCUGUACAGACGUCGACCUAGUUAAAAUAAAUAUGUUUACCACAAAA